CGCCACAGGAUGAAUCUGCGCCCGAUUAGGUAAGUAGUUCGGGUAGAGGCCCAACUAGCCUGUUAUCGGUACGGGUUGUGGGAGCAAGAGCCCGGAGAUGGAAUCUGAGACACGAUUCCAGGCCCUACGGGGCGCAGCAGGCGCGAUAACUUUACAAUGCAGGAAACUGUGAUAAGGGAACCCCGAGUGCCCGUACACGCGGGCUGUCUGGGUGUUUAAAAUGCACCCAAAGAAAGGGCCGGGCAAGACCGGUGCCAGCCGCCGCGGUAAUACCGUCGGCUCGAGUGGUGACCACUUUUAUUGGGCUUAAAGCGUUCGUAGCUGGACUGUUAAGUCUCUUGGGAAAUCCGUCGGCUCAACCGACGGGCGUCUAAGAGAUACUGGCAGCCUUGGGACCGGGAGAGGUAAGAGGUACUCCGGGGGUAGGAGUGAAAUCCUGUAAUCCCCGGGGGACCACCUGUGGCGAAGGCGUCUUACCAGAACGGCUCCGACAGUGAGGAACGAAAGCUGGGGGAGCGAACCGGAUUAGAUACCCGGGUUGUCCCAGCCGUAAACGAUGCGCGUUAGGUGUACCGGCGACCACGAGUUGCCGGAGUGCCGAAGGGAAACCGUGAAACGUGCCGCCUGGGAAGUACGGUCGCAAGGCUGAAACUCAAAUGAAU
Molecule: ribosomal RNA, 662 nt
Filed under: uncultured archaeon
Lineage: Archaea
Description: bacterial SSU rRNA
Rfam family: Archaeal small subunit ribosomal RNA
Source: RNAcentral